AGUGAACGCUGGCGGUAGGCCUAACACAUGCAAGUCGAACGGCAGCACAGUAAGAGCUUGCUCUUACGGGUGGCGAGUGGCGGACGGGUGAGUAAUACAUCGGAAUCUACUUUUUCGUGGGGGAUAACGUAGGGAAACUUACGCUAAUACCGCAUACGACCUACGUGUGAAAGCAGGGGAUCUUCGUACCUUGCGCGAUUGAAUGAGCCGAUGUCGGAUUAGGUAGUUGGCGGGUUAAAGGCCCACCAAGGCGACGAUCCGUAUCUGGUCUGAGAGGAUGAUCAGCCAAACUGGAACUGAGACACAGUCCAGACUCCUACGGGAGGCAGCAGUGGGGAAUCUUGGACGAUGGGCGAAAGCCUGAUCCAGCAAUACCGCGUGGAUGAAGAAGCACUUCGGGUUGUAAAGCCCUUUUGUUGGGAAAGAAAAGCAGCAGGUUAAUACCCCGCUGUUCUGACGGUACCCAAAGAAUAAGCACCGGCUAACUUCGUG
This 492-nucleotide ribosomal RNA is filed under the name uncultured bacterium. Its description in RNAcentral is "partial 16S ribosomal RNA". It matches the Rfam family "Bacterial small subunit ribosomal RNA", at positions 29 to 507 of the family's 1533-position model. The record is from RNAcentral.